GAACGCACAUUGCGCCCCUUGGUAUUCCGAGGGGCAUGCCUGUUCGAGCGUCAUUUCACCACUCAAGCCUGGCUUGGUAUUGGGCGCCGCGGUCAAUCCGCGCGCCUCAAAGUCUCCGGCUGAGCUGUCCGUCUCUAAGCGUUGUGAUCUCAUUAAUCGCUUCGGAGUGCGGGCGGCCGCGGCCGUUAAAUCUUUCAAAGGUUGACCUCGGAUCAGGUAGGGAUACCCGCUGAACUUAAG
This 240-nucleotide unclassified non-coding RNA is filed under the name Septoria cerastii. Its description in RNAcentral is "sequence contains 5.8S rRNA gene". The stretch from base 1 to 53 matches the Rfam family "5.8S ribosomal RNA", at positions 102 to 154 of the family's 154-position model. Lineage: Eukaryota; Fungi; Ascomycota; Dothideomycetes; Mycosphaerellales; Mycosphaerellaceae. The record is from RNAcentral.